This 458-nucleotide ribosomal RNA is filed under the name uncultured bacterium. RNAcentral's name for it is "bacterial SSU rRNA". It matches the Rfam family "Bacterial small subunit ribosomal RNA", at positions 29 to 523 of the family's 1533-position model. The record is from RNAcentral.
AACGAACGCUGGCGGCAGGCCUAACACAUGCAAGUCGAGCGCACCUUCGGGUGAGCGGCGGACGGGUUAGUAACGCGUGGGAAUAUGCCCUUCUCUACGGAAUAGCCAUUGGAAACGAUGAGUAAUACCGUAUACGCCCUUCGGGGGAAAGAUUUAUCGGAGAAGGAUUAGCCCGCGUUAGAUUAGAUAGUUGGUGGGGUAAGUGGCCUACCAAGUCUACGAUCUAUAGCUUGGUUUUAGAGGAUGAUCAGCAACACUGGGACUGAGACACGGCCCAGACUCCUACGGGAGGCAGCAGGUAGGGGAAUCGUUAGACAAGUGGGGACAACCCUGAUCUAGCCAUGCCGCGUGAGUGACGAAAGGCCCCUAGGGGUCGUAAAAGCUCUUUCGCCAGGGGAUGAUAAUGACAGUACCUGGUAAAGAAACCCCGGCUAACUCCGUGCCAGCCGCCGCGGUAA